RNAcentral lists this ribosomal RNA (459 nucleotides) under Mycolicibacterium septicum. Its description in RNAcentral is "bacterial SSU rRNA". It matches the Rfam family "Bacterial small subunit ribosomal RNA", at positions 28 to 504 of the family's 1533-position model. The record is from RNAcentral. Lineage: Bacteria; Bacillati; Actinomycetota; Actinomycetes; Mycobacteriales; Mycobacteriaceae.
GACGAACGCUGGCGGCGUGCUUAACACAUGCAAGUCGAACGGAAAGGCCCUUCGGGGUACUCGAGUGGCGAACGGGUGAGUAACACGUGGGUGAUCUGCCCUGCACUUUGGGAUAAGCCUGGGAAACUGGGUCUAAUACCGAAUAUGACCGCGCACUUCCUGGUGUGUGGUGGAAAGCUUUUGCGGUGUGGGAUGGGCCCGCGGCCUAUCAGCUUGUUGGUGGGGUAAUGGCCUACCAAGGCGACGACGGGUAGCCGGCCUGAGAGGGUGACCGGCCACACUGGGACUGAGAUACGGCCCAGACUCCUACGGGAGGCAGCAGUGGGGAAUAUUGCACAAUGGGCGCAAGCCUGAUGCAGCGACGCCGCGUGAGGGAUGACGGCCUUCGGGUUGUAAACCUCUUUCAAUAGGGACGAAGCGCAAGUGACGGUACCUAUAGAAGAAGGACCGGCCAACUAC